Molecule: unclassified non-coding RNA, 262 nt
Filed under: Hevea brasiliensis (rubber tree)
Lineage: Eukaryota; Viridiplantae; Streptophyta; Magnoliopsida; Malpighiales; Euphorbiaceae
Source: RNAcentral
GAUUUGCCCAGUAAUGGGUGUCAGGCCUCUCAGAGAAAGAUACCGUUCGUGGGGAGAUGAGUGGCUUCUGGUAAGAAAGGAUGAGAAUGAAUUGGGGCCUUUUUCUGCUUGGAAUAUAACAGGAACUUACAGAGGGUCUUGGAGGUUCCUAGAUUCAACAAAUAGCUCUUCCAGGUUUCCUGAUUUUAGGAAGUCCAAUGGCAACUCGGUCCUUGAAUUGAUAAGUAAUCCAACAAAAAUAACUGGUGUACAUUAUAUUCAG